Molecule: long non-coding RNA, 325 nt
Organism: Zonotrichia leucophrys gambelii
Lineage: Eukaryota; Metazoa; Chordata; Aves; Passeriformes; Passerellidae
Exons: 3
Source: RefSeq, a predicted model, not a curated record
AGAUACUGCAGCACUGACUUAGUAACAAGAGGGACUACACUGGAAUCAGGAUUAAAAAUCAACUCAGCUCUUUCAGUUCUCCAGCAAAUGAAAGCUCACACCACACAUUGCAUCCCAGCUUGCCAAGUCGUGGUCAAACUCUCCUCCAACUCUCAUACUGAAACAGUGCUGCCAUGCCAGUAUAUUCUGUCUUGAAGAAGAAAUUAAGUAUACCAAAAAAAGAAGAGGAAAUAUAUUUCAGGAAACUUGAACAGAUGGAGGCAACAUGCAGCCACAGCCUAAACUGAAACAGAGGAAAGAGACAAAGAAGGACAAAUAGAGACAG